CACCCCCGCUGCGAUGAAUGAAAUGUUUGCUUCGUUUCUCUCGUCAUUCGUUCUCCCGACGCAGCGCAGUCAGGUUCGAACAUGUUCGGUUUCAGAAGUAAAGUGAAUUUUGUUUCUAUGCUAGCACUGAGAGGGAUUAUUGAGCAAAAGAGCACCAGAUAUAGAUUACGCAGUUCAUUUACGCUCGAAAAUGUAGAAGAUGCUAACUUCUGCCUUCAAAUUGUCGACACAAUAACAAAUGAAUGCUUUGGUUGGUGAAUGAAUUUAUAUUUCCUCUGCACUCAAGCAUUCGAUUCUGCAUGAAAUUUCAGUCAGUUUGAAAGUGAAUGAAUGAGGGAGGCGUUGAAUCUGAAUGUCGGUUUCGGUAAAUGCAAGCAGAAAUAGGUAACUGAUUUUGAAAUUUCCUGGCUCUGAUUACUGCCUUGGCUCCUACCAGUUGCUUGCAUGAAAAUAUCGCUGCCUCCACAGUGCUCGUGAUUCCAUCCCAGUAGCAGCUAGCAACCACAAUUCCAGUGCUUAUCGCCAGCAACAUCAGAAAAUUAAGAUUUCCCCUAGACCAUGACCAUCAUCCGACAGAUCGCAACAACGCAACAAGCAACAACGUUCAACUGACGGUAGAACCUGGCCAGCAACCGCAACUAGUGCAAUCGAUCCAAGCCAAUCAGGGCCAAAUGUAGAAGACCAUUGGUCAACCGCAAAAAAAAGAUACAUCAACAGCACCUUCAAACACAGUAGCAGCAGCAUACUGUACUGUACCACGCCGCGUGCAGGAGGACUUUUUUUAUUCAGUUGGUGCAGCAAGAUCGAACAGCAACCAUAGCGGAUACACAUCACCGAACACCAACAACAUAAUGCCAUGGUAACCACCCAGCAGCAGAACACGGUGAUAAUGGGCCAACAGUAAAUACAACAUCAAGAUCCUCGGAAAGGACUUUUUCUUUCGAACAAACAUAAUGGAAGCAUACUCUACACGCGUGACAUAUUCAAUCGGGCCAACCGUGUGACUCGUUUGGAAAAAAGCGCUCAUCAUCGGUUUCAUGGCAGCGAAGUGAGCAGACAAAAGAAGGCGUUUUUUUCCGCAAGGUCGCUCUGGGCAAAAGUUCAGCCAAUUGCAAGGAAUAAACCACCGGAGUGACAGUAUCCGUGCUGUUUGGGACCUUUUUCCAUAUAUUGUAGCUUUUGAAUUUUAAUACCCGGUCGAAACGAUGGCAAGUGCUGCCGAUAACUGGGUCAAAAAGGCGGAGGGAGGAUCAGGAAAUUUCUGCACUCGGUUAUCGAUCUGAGUAUCCCUAAGGAUAAGGAACCAGAGCCGGCGGCUGACAGCCCAAAGAAAGAGAAUGCGGAAAAACCUUCUAGUUCACCGCCAGUAGAACCAGCGAUCAAAUUACUCCCGUAGAAACGGCUGCACCUGCAGUUUUGUUUUCGGUAGCUACAGAAAUUAAGACUUUAGCAGCUCCUGAAGAAAAAAAAGCUGCUAGCGAAAAUGGAGAAACAGCUUCCUCCACGGAAGAUUCAGAGGCAUUCAACCCGGCGGAUGCAAGUUUGCUAAUUAAACUUAUUCGCAAAGGUCUAGUAGAAUCAAAGCUGGAUCUGGGGGUGAAGGAUCCUUCUUCGCCGCUAUACUUGGUUAAAACUUUCGAAGCUUUGCACAUGAAUUCGGAACUGCUUCAGGGAGUCUAUGCUAUGGGUUUCAACGCUCCUUCCAAGAUUCAGAAGACGGCUCAACCUACUCUGUUGGCCGAUCCGCCACAGAACAAUCGCCCAGAGUUGGUCGGGAACAAGAAAAACCACUGCCUUCGUGCUGGCAAUGCUCAAUCGAGUCGAUCCGUUGAAAAAUUAUCCGCAGGUGAUUUGCCUUUCCCCACGUAUGAACUGGCAAUUCAGAAGGGGAAAGUAGCUGCAAAACGGCAAAGUUUUGUGCGGAAAUCGAACUUGGUUAAACCGUUCGUGGUGAGAAGAUCGUCAAAGGGGCGAAGCUGACUAAUCAUAUCAUCAUCGGAACAGCCGGGCGUUCGACCUUAAGAAGAUUGCAAUUUUUGUACCGGACGAGGCGGGCGUUAUGAUCGCUGUUCUUUUUAGCCACGUACGAGCGGGAGGUGAUGGGAUUCGCCCAGUACAUCGUAACCAAUCCGAUCAUGAUUCUUCUGGUGCGGGAGCAAGAAUCACUCGAUAACACCAAACACUACUACGUCAAAUGCCGCAACCAGGACGAGAAAUAUCAAGCAAUUUCAAACAUGUACGGUGUGAUUACCGUCGGACAAGCGAUCAUUUUCUGUCAUAUGAUGUAUAGGACAGUUGUAAACUCCAAGUAAACUUAUUUUCGGCAUUGUUAAUCGAUCGAAACAGGCACGCAAAACGGCCGGUUGGACCAGGAUAAUCACUCAGUAGCGGUACUGUCCGGUGAUCUAACGGCGGAGCAACGGUUGGCCGUUCUGGAUCGAUCCUGAGCCGGACUAGAGAAGGUAUUGAUUGCAACGAACGUUUUGUCUAGGGGUAUCGAUGUUGAACAGGUGACCAUUGUUAUCAACUUCGACCUGCCGAUGGAUUAGCAGGGACGAGCCGAUUGCGAAACGUAUCUACAUCGAAUUAGACGCACCGGUAGAUUCGAACGGAAUCACCAUCAACCUAGUGGGCAGUGAUCGAAGCAUGAUGAUUUGCAGAUCAAUCGAAAAACACUUCCGGAAAAAGAUUCAGUUGCUAGACGCGGAGAACUCGGACGAAAUUGAAAAGAUCGCACCGUAAAGUGUUUUCGACCAGCUACUGGUGAAAGGCAUAGGAGCUUUUUUGGGUCAUACUUGUUAUGAUUCUGAAUUUAUAAUUUUAUUAAUUUUUUUUUCUUCCUUGACCUGACAUAUGUAACCAACAGGGUAAUAAAUUUACAAUUAAAAUUACAAUUUCUCGAGUACUUUUACAAAUGGACGUAAGUAACAUUGAGAGCCUCUCUUUGUUUACUUUCUCUUUCGUUUAUUACGACAUCAUUACAACACUUUGCACUAAUUUUCCAGU
Long non-coding RNA from Topomyia yanbarensis, 3006 nucleotides. RefSeq lists it as uncharacterized. The transcript has 7 exons. NCBI's taxonomy places the organism in Eukaryota, Metazoa, Arthropoda, Insecta, Diptera, Culicidae. The record is from RefSeq and is a predicted model, not a curated record.